CUGGGCUUAAAUGUAGAGUGCAUGAGUGGGAAACCAUUCUUUUCUUCGGAACUCUUUACAAGGUGCUGCAUGGUUGUCGUCAGCUCGUGCCGUGAGGUGUCGGGUUAAGUCCCAUAACGAGCGCAACCCCUACCUUUAGUUGCCAUCAGGUAAUGCUGGGGACUCUAGAGGAACUGCCUACGCAAGUAGUGAGGAAGGUGGGGAUGACGUCAAAUCAGCACGGCCCUUACGUCCAGGGCUACACACGUGCUACAAUGGUCGGUACAGAGGGCAGCUACCACGCGAGUGGAUGCAAAUCUCCAAAGCCGAUCUCAGUUCGGAUCGAAGUCUGAAACUCGACUUCGUGAAGUUGGAUUCGCUAGUAAUCGCGCAUCAGCCAUGGCGCGGUGAAUACGUUCCC
This 400-nucleotide ribosomal RNA is filed under the name uncultured bacterium. Its description in RNAcentral is "bacterial SSU rRNA". It matches the Rfam family "Bacterial small subunit ribosomal RNA", at positions 975 to 1375 of the family's 1533-position model. The record is from RNAcentral.